This 465-nucleotide ribosomal RNA is filed under the name Vreelandella stevensii. Its description in RNAcentral is "partial 16S ribosomal RNA". It matches the Rfam family "Bacterial small subunit ribosomal RNA", at positions 338 to 795 of the family's 1533-position model. The record is from RNAcentral. Lineage: Bacteria; Pseudomonadati; Pseudomonadota; Gammaproteobacteria; Oceanospirillales; Halomonadaceae.
CCUACGGGUGGCUGCAGUGGGGAAUAUUGGACAAUGGGCGAAAGCCUGAUCCAGCCAUGCCGCGUGUGUGAAGAAGGCCUUCGGGUUGUAAAGCACUUUCAGUGGGGAAGAAAGCCUUGGGGCUAAUACCCUCGAGGAAGGACAUCACCCACAGAAGAAGCACCGGCUAACUCCGUGCCAGCAGCCGCGGUAAUACGGAGGGUGUGAGCGUUAAUCGGAAUUACUGGGCGUAAAGCGCGCGUAGGCGGUCUGAUAAGCCGGUUGUGAAAGCCCCGGGCUCAACCUGGGAACGGCAUCCGGAACUGUCAGGCUAGAGUGCAGGAGAGGAAGGUAGAAUUCCCGGUGUAGCGGUGAAAUGCGUAGAGAUCGGGAGGAAUACCAGUGGCGAAGGCGGCCUUCUGGACUGACACUGACGCUGAGGUGCGUAAGCGUGGGUAGCAAACAGGAUUAGAUACCCUUGUAGUC